AUUGUUUUUGCUCAAAAACUCUUUGGAAAAAGAAUUGGAAAAGAAAAAUAAAAAGAAAAACCCCCCAGCCAAACUCCUCUCCCCCUCUCCCCCUGCGCAGGCCGCUCCCCGGCCCAGCACGCGCACAGCCCAGCAGGCCCGCAGCGCGCCCCUUUCCCCCUUUCUCUCUCUGCCUCAGGGGCUCCACCUGUCAGCGCUUCUCCUUCCCCAGCGUGGCCGAAAACGACUCCUCACGAACCGGCUCCAACCGAUUCCGAAAACGACGGGAUUCCUUACCAAAUCCGCGUGCUAAGCCCUAUAAAGCUCUAAGCACCGACCCCCGCGCGUUCACUUCCCGUUUCGUCGCAAAAACGGUGCCCUAGAACCCGCUGCUACGCUAAAACAGAUCUCGCCGAAACUCUAUCCUAGCCGCCGCCGUCGCGUGCGUUCUCCGCUCCCCCUCAGCCCAAGA
Molecule: long non-coding RNA, 451 nt
Filed under: Sorghum bicolor (sorghum)
Lineage: Eukaryota; Viridiplantae; Streptophyta; Magnoliopsida; Poales; Poaceae
Description: long non-coding RNA (SBIC_LNC013047)
Source: RNAcentral